UCCCCUAGUAACUGCGAGUGAAGCGGGAAAAGCUCAAAUUUAAAAUCUGGCGGUCUCUGGCCGUCCGAGUUGUAAUCUAGAGAAGUGCUGCCCGCGCUGGACCGUGUACAAGUCUCCUGGAAUGGAGCGUCAUAGAGGGUGAGAAUCCCGUCUUUGACACGGACUACCAGGGCUUUGUGGUACGCUCUCAAAGAGUCGAGUUGUUUGGGAAUGCAGCUCAAAAUGGGUGGUAAAUUCCAUCUAAAGCUAAAUAUUGGCGAGAGACCGAUAGCGAACAAGUACCGUGAGGGAAAGAUGAAAAGAACUUUGGAAAGAGAGUUAAACAGUACGUGAAAUUGCUGAAAGGGAAACGCUUGAAGUCAGUCGCGUUGGCCGGGGAUCAGCCUCGCUCUUUUGCGUGGUGUACUUUCCGGUCGACGGGUCAGCAUCAGUUUUGAUCGCUGGAAAAAGGCCUGAGGAAUGUGGCAGCUCCGGCUGUGUUAUAGCUUCUGGUCACAUACAGCGGUUGGGAUUGAGGAACUCAGCACGCCGCAAGGCCGGGUUUCGACCACGUUCGUGCUUAGGAUGCUGGCAUAAUGGCUUUAAGCGACCCGUCUUGAAACACGGACCAAGGAGUCUAACAUGCCUGCGAGUGUUUGGGUGGAAAACCCGAGCGCGUAAUGAAAGUGAAAGUUGAGAUCCCUGUCGCGGGGAGCAUCGACGCCCGGACCAGAACUUUUGGGACGGAUCCGCGGUAGAGCAUGUAUGUUGGGACCCGAAAGAUGGUGAACUAUGCCUGAAUAGGGUGAAGCCAGAGGAAACUCUGGUGGAGGCUCGUAGCGAUUCUGACGUGCAAAUCGAUCGUCAAAUUUGGGUAUAGGGGCGAAAGACUAAUCGA
RNAcentral lists this ribosomal RNA (877 nucleotides) under Clarkeinda trachodes. RNAcentral's name for it is "eukaryotic LSU rRNA". It matches the Rfam family "Eukaryotic large subunit ribosomal RNA", at positions 76 to 938 of the family's 3401-position model. The record is from RNAcentral. Lineage: Eukaryota; Fungi; Basidiomycota; Agaricomycetes; Agaricales; Agaricaceae.